GGAAACAAAUAUAAAUAUAAGAGGAGUAAACAACAUGGGACACCGGAUUAAACAGAGCAGUAAACGACAACUGCUCACUUGACAGUCUCUACUAGCUAGAGUCCCAUCCCAAGUGAGGAGUGACAUAAAGCUCCAUCAACGCGUCCCAUUCUUCCAUCCACAGACAAGGAGCGAGAGCGAGCCCAAAACGCACCGACCCGC
Molecule: long non-coding RNA, 201 nt
Filed under: Hordeum vulgare
Lineage: Eukaryota; Viridiplantae; Streptophyta; Magnoliopsida; Poales; Poaceae
Description: long non-coding RNA (HVUL_LNC015167)
Source: RNAcentral